UACGUAGGGGGCAAGCGUUGUCCGGAUUUAUUGGGCGUAAAGCGCGUGUAGGCGGCCAGGUAGGUCCGUUGUGAAAACUCGAGGCUCAACCCUCGAGACGUCGACGGAAACCAUCUGGCUAGAGUCCGGAAGAGGAGAGUGGAAUUCCUAGUGUAGAGGUGAAAUUCGUAGAUAUUAGGAAGAACACCAGUGGCGAAGGCGGCGCACUGGCCCGGUACCUGAAGC
Molecule: ribosomal RNA, 225 nt
Filed under: uncultured bacterium
Lineage: Bacteria
Description: partial 16S ribosomal RNA
Rfam family: Bacterial small subunit ribosomal RNA
Source: RNAcentral